This 74-nucleotide transfer RNA is filed under the name Candidatus Colwellbacteria bacterium CG10_big_fil_rev_8_21_14_0_10_42_22. RNAcentral describes it as "tRNA-Pro". It matches the Rfam family "tRNA". From Rfam's summary of the family: Transfer RNA (tRNA) molecules are approximately 80 nucleotides in length. Their secondary structure includes four short double-helical elements and three loops (D, anti-codon, and T loops). The record is from RNAcentral. Lineage: Bacteria; Candidatus Colwelliibacteriota.
CGGGCCGUAGUAUAGUGGUAGUACGCGGGCUUCGGGUGCCUGUAGUGGGAGUUCGAUUCUCCCCGGCCCGACAA